This 2460-nucleotide long non-coding RNA is filed under the name Homo sapiens (human). RNAcentral's name for it is "HSALNT0206709". Lineage: Eukaryota; Metazoa; Chordata; Mammalia; Primates; Hominidae. The record is from RNAcentral.
UUUUGUUUUCUGUUUCCUUUCUUAUACUCUUCUUUCUUCCUGUUCAUUCCUGACUUUCUUUGUGCUGUUCACCAUUUUUCUAACACCUGCACCUUGCAGGCAUAGUCGAAUUCUUUCCCUUCCACAAAUGUGGCCCAGUCCUUCCAGCUGCCUGUCUGGCACAUACCUCAUCUGUCUAUUGUCACUGCCUUCACUUGGCUAGUUCUUAUUCAUCCUUGAUUCUCACGUUGAAUGAUUUUGCCCUGAGAGACCCUUCCUCAGCCCUCUGCUCCCAUGACAUCCCUGACUUCCUUAUCUUAGAGGACUAUGCACUGUGUCAAUUUUCUGGGUAUAAGGAUAAGCUCCAUGAAGUCAGGAAUGAUCUCAUACACAAGUGCUUAGCAUGGUUCCUAGGAUAAAGUAGACAUAAUAAAAAUUCAUGGAAUAGUUCCAUGAGUAGUUGAUUACUUAGAGAGUCUAAUUAGCCCACAGACUGUUGAAGACUGUAGGAAUGGCUGGCAGCCUUUGCUGAAGGAACUUGAUCUUUGUUGAGCUUCAGCUUCCUUUGUGCCUGAAAUCAGCUCUCAAUUUUCACAUCCAUCUCACGCUGGCCUCUACGGAGUGAGUGUAAUCCAGCAAAGUGGCACCACAUCAGUCAGUGGAUCAUUUUUGCAACUUGUGGGUCAGGGUAUGAGCUCUGUCAGUGACUCUGAGCCCUGUGCCUCCUGGCUCUAAGUCUGGUAGUCUGCGCUUACUCUCUGUUUCCCGAUUUCUCAUCCACCAGGUGGAAAGGAACAAUGAUCCCCUUGACUGGCUUCUCUGAAAUGUUAGGAAAACUGUAGGUUUAUUUUCCACCAGGACCAGGUUAGACCAUCAGAAGACUCUAUACCUGGAUCACAUUGCUUCGCCUUUUCACAGAACUGCAUUGAAGGACAUUUUAAGAACCAUCCUCCUGAAAUGUAUUAAAGUUAUUUAAUAUGGAAGUCCCCAUGAUUUCACAUGUUCAGUAUUUGAGGACCCAUGGGAAAAACCCCACUUGUAUGUGGUUGAGAGAUUUGUGAGCCACGUGGAGAAGACCUGAAGCUGUGAACUGGAUACCAUGGCAGCUGAUGUCAGGACAGGCCGUCGAUAGAUGACCAAACCCUGCAUCCAAAGUGAGCUUUCCUGUCGGUGUUUUGACUUCUCGUGUGAACAAUGACUGAGGUGGUUCAUUCCUGCAGAGAAGCCCCUUCCUUCUCACCACGCACCAUCUGGGAGGCUGGACUGCAAAGGUGAAAUGGACAAUCAGCCCACUGGAAAAGUGACUGCUGGGCUGUAGGAAAGGGCAGGGCUCAUGGCCUUGCUGUCCAAACACCACUCACAAGUCCAGCAAAGGAAGGGUUGAAUGAAUUUUCAAAGCACUUUGAACUUUCAGGGGAGAAUAAAAUAGAAUGGAAAAGAGUAGAAUAAAAUAACCCAGACCAACCCACUCAAGUCCAAGGUAACCCCAAAGAAAGACUUACUAAUUGUGAUCUCAGCAAUCACUGAGAUACUAGGUGAGCCUCUUCCAUCAUUGCUAGUGUCUCACUGGAGUACUACAUCUUAGCAAAUUCUUUAUUAUUAUUAUUAUUAUUAUUAUUAUUAUUAUUAUUAUUAUUAUUUUUUGAGACGGACACUCGCGGCAACACCCAGGCUGAAGUGCCGUGGUAAAAUCUCGGCUCACUGCAACCUCCACUUCUUGAGUUCAAGUCAUUCUCCUGCCUCAGCCUCUCGAGUAGCUAGGACUACAGGUGUGCACCACCACCAAGCCUGGCUAAUUUUUGUAUUUUUAGUAGAGACAGGGUUUCACCAUGUUGGCCAGGCUGGUCUCGAACUCCUGGCCUCAAGUGAUCCACCUGCCUCGGCCUCUCAAAGCACUGGGAUUACAGGCAUGAGCCACCGCACCCAGCCCAUCUUAGCAAAUUCUUAAGCUGCGUCUGCACUGAGAGGAAAAGCAUUCACCCAUCAGUGAUAGUUACUUUGAGCCCAGGAGAGGGGGAAAUGUCCGAAUAUGAGCAAUCCUUGUCCUGGAGAUGAAGUCUCCCCUCACCAUCCCAUCUAUGGAGUUAUCUGUGGAACUGGAUAGAGAACUAUAUUCUUCCUAUCCAUUAAAUUACAGAACAUAUUACAAAGGAAAAUCGGGUAUCCACAAGACAACAUUGUAUUUUGGGGUGGUAUGAUACUACCAUGGCUCUUCUGGUAAUUGAAGGAUAUAAGCUAUGCAAAAUGAUUCUCACUGCGAAUAAAACAUUUGCUUCAGGAGCUUCUAAAGGUGAGGGCAAUACAAUUUGUGUUUGUUUAAAACAUAAUGUCAUCCAUAACUAAUGGCAUAGCUCUGGCUCAGUAAAGCUUGAAACUAUUGUAUAUAUUUGAAGCUGGAUUUCUGAAUCCUGAGAUGAGAAAUAAAUUUACCCUUAAGCUUUUAUUUUAUUUUUUCAUGGUAAAGGUUAUUUCAGUGACUGA